GACGAACGCUGGCGGCGUGCCUAAUACAUGCAAGUAGAACGCUGAAGGAGGAGCUUGCUUCUCUGGAUGAGUUGCGAACGGGUGAGUAACGCGUAGGUAACCUGCCUGGUAGCGGGGGGUAACUAUUGGAAACGAUAGCUAAUACCGCAUAAUAGCAGUUGUUGCAUGACAACUGUUUGAAAGGUGCAAUUGCACCACUACCAGAUGGACCUGCGUUGUAUUAGCUAGUUGGUGGGGUAACGGCUCACCAAGGCGACGAUACAUAGCCGACCUGAGAGGGUGAUCGGCCACACUGGGACUGAGACACGGCCCAGACUCCUACGGGAGGCAGCAGUAGGGAAUCUUCGGCAAUGGACGGAAGUCUGACCGAGCAACGCCGCGUGAGUGAAGAAGGUUUUCGGAUCGUAAAGCUCUGUUGUAAGAGAAGAACGAGUGUGAGAGUGGAAAGUUCACACUGUGACGGUAUCUAACCAGAAAGGGACGGCUAACUACGUG
This 495-nucleotide ribosomal RNA is filed under the name uncultured bacterium. RNAcentral's name for it is "partial 16S ribosomal RNA". It matches the Rfam family "Bacterial small subunit ribosomal RNA", at positions 28 to 507 of the family's 1533-position model. The record is from RNAcentral.